RNAcentral lists this ribosomal RNA (464 nucleotides) under uncultured bacterium. Its description in RNAcentral is "bacterial SSU rRNA". It matches the Rfam family "Bacterial small subunit ribosomal RNA", at positions 330 to 792 of the family's 1533-position model. The record is from RNAcentral.
GCCAGACUCCUACGGGAGGCAGCAGUGAGGAAUAUUGGUCAAUGGUCGUAAGACUGAACCAGCCAAGUAGCGUGCAGGAUGACGGCACUAUGGGUUGUAAACUGCUUUUAUGCGGGGAUAAAAUGCGUCACGUGUGAUGUUUUGUAGGUACCGCAUGAAUAAGGACCGGCUAAUUCCGUGCCAGCAGCCGCGGUAAUACGGAGGAUGCGAGCGUUAUCCGGAUUUAUUGGGUUUAAAGGGUGCGUAGGCGGGUUAUCAAGUCAGCGGUAAAAUCGUGGAGCUCAACUCCAUCCAGCCGUUGAAACUGAUGAUCUUGAGUGGGCGAGAAGUAUGCGGAAUGCGCGGUGUAGCGGUGAAAUGCAUAGAUAUCGCGCAGAACUCCGAUUGCGAAGGCAGCAUACCGGCGCGCAACUGACGCUCAUGCACGAAAGCGUGGGUAUCGAACAGGAUUAGAUACCCUGGUA